This 482-nucleotide ribosomal RNA is filed under the name uncultured bacterium. RNAcentral's name for it is "partial 16S ribosomal RNA". It matches the Rfam family "Bacterial small subunit ribosomal RNA", at positions 30 to 507 of the family's 1533-position model. The record is from RNAcentral.
AUUGAACGCUGGCGGCAUGCUUUACACAUGCAAGUCGAACGGUAACAGGCCGCAAGGUGCUGACGAGUGGCGGACGGGUGGGUAAUGCAUCGGAACGUGCCCAGCCGUUGGGGAUAACUACUCGAAAGAGUAGCUAAUACCGCAUACGAUCUAUGGAUGAACGCGGGGGACCGUAAGGCCUCGCGCGGUUGGAGCGGCCGAUGUCAGAUUAGGUUGUUGGUGGGGUAAAGGCUCACCAAGCCAACGAUCUGUAGCUGGUCUGAGAGGACGACCAGCCACACUGGGACUGAGACACGGCCCAGACGCCUACGGGAGGCAGCAGUGGGGAAUUUUGGACAAUGGGCGCAAGCCUGAUCCAGCAAUGCCGCGUGCAGGAAGAAGGCCUUCGGGUUGUAAACUGCUUUUGUACGGAACGAAACGGCUCUGGUUAAUACCCGGGGCUAAUGACGGUACCGGAAGAAUAAGCACCGGCUAACUACGUG